CAGUAGCCGCGGUAAUACGAGGGGGGCAAGCGUUGUUCGGAAUUAUUGGGCGUAAAGGGCGCGUAGGCGGUUUGACAAGUUUGGUGUGAAAUCUAUGGGCUCAACCCAUAGCCUGCAUCGAAAACUGUCGGGCUUGAGUAUGGGAGAGGUGAGUGGAAUUUCCGGUGUAGCGGUGAAAUGCGUAGAUAUCGGAAGGAACACCUGUGGCGAAAGCGGCUCACUGGACCAUUACUGACGCUGAGGCGCGAAAGCUAGGGGAGCAAACAGGAUUAGAGACCCCAGUAGUCCCUGUCUCUUAUAA
This 301-nucleotide ribosomal RNA is filed under the name uncultured bacterium. RNAcentral's name for it is "partial 16S ribosomal RNA". It matches the Rfam family "Bacterial small subunit ribosomal RNA", at positions 509 to 809 of the family's 1533-position model. The record is from RNAcentral.